GAAUUGCGAUCAGUAAUGUGAAUUGCAGAAUUCAGUGAAUCAUCGAAUCUUUGAACGCACCUUGCGCUCCUUGGUAUUCCUUGGUGCAUGCCUGUUUGAGUAUCAUGAAAUCUUCAAAGUAAAUCUUUUGUUAACUCAAUUGGUUUCUACUUUGGUAUUGGAGGUCUUUGCAGCUUCACACCUGCUCCUCUUUGUUCAUUAGCUGGAUCUCAGUGUUAUGCUUGGUUCCACUCGGCGUGAUAAGUUAUCUAUCGCUGAGGACACUGUAAAAGGUGGCCAAGGUAAAUGCAGAUGAACCGCUUCUAAUAGUCCAUUGACUUGGACAAUACUUUUAUGAUCUGAUCUCAAAUCAGGUAGGACUACCCGCUGAACUUAAGC
RNAcentral lists this unclassified non-coding RNA (378 nucleotides) under plant metagenome. Its description in RNAcentral is "partial contains 5.8S ribosomal RNA, internal transcribed spacer 2, and large subunit ribosomal RNA". The stretch from base 1 to 105 matches the Rfam family "5.8S ribosomal RNA", at positions 50 to 154 of the family's 154-position model. The record is from RNAcentral.